Long non-coding RNA from Micropterus dolomieu (smallmouth bass), 909 nucleotides. RefSeq lists it as uncharacterized. The record is from RefSeq and is a predicted model, not a curated record. NCBI's taxonomy places the organism in Eukaryota, Metazoa, Chordata, Actinopteri, Centrarchiformes, Centrarchidae. The transcript is spliced from 3 exons.
CAGGUAGGCCACGCCCAUCGGCACCACUUGGCAGAGCUUCCUGUGGAGCGGGUACGGCCGCCGGAAACGAAGCUUCGCAUAACAGCAGGCGGCGCAGGAGAACCAGGCGAGGAGGGCGGCGGCCGGGAGGAAGACCUGCGAGAAAAUGGCAUCAUGAGAACAUCUGAACGCCUCGGCUGAGGACGGAUGUAAGUCACUUUAACGCACCUGUCCCAGCAUGCUUUGUGUCCAGGCACUGUCGGAGCUGUAUAGGCACAGAGCCAGAGCGCAGCCAUACUGGUAGACGGCCACGCCCACGUAGUCCAGGAAGAACAGCGAGUAAUGCGCCUGCUCCGAGCGGGACUGCAACAGCUCAGGUAUGUGACAGCGGAGAAGACAUAGUGAACCAGAGGCAGCGAGGAGACGUCCACAGAAAACCCCUGACCCUCUGGACCCUGGAGCCGAAAACCCAGUAUCCCCUGUGGAGGUCAAAGAACGGUGAACGCCAUGAACCUCAGCGCCACGCAGACGGCAGCCAGCAGGUGGCUCCACACGUUCAGAGUCUCGUUGUGGAUCUGGAAGAGGCUGAGGACGUAACAGCGCCACGACAGGCCCACGGGACGGUACCCAGACAGGAUGAACCGCUCCCUAAACAGAGGGGGGACGUCCACGUCUCGGACGGUCGGGGGAAGGGAGGGGAGGAGGCGGUCCAGCAGAGGAAGGAAGGUGAGGCACAGCGAGGGAGGGACGAACGACACCUGAGGCAUGAUGGGAGAGGAUCCUGAGUUUGUCUCGUUGCUUGUUGUUUUGUACGAAGCUGAAACAAUUCAAAGAAAUUCAUUAAAAUACAAAACAGGCAGGUGAUGGGUAACACAGGUACGUUGGUGGUUACACAGGUACGUUGGUGGUUAGGUGGUUCGACAGGUACGU